This 231-nucleotide ribosomal RNA is filed under the name uncultured bacterium. Its description in RNAcentral is "partial 16S ribosomal RNA". It matches the Rfam family "Bacterial small subunit ribosomal RNA", at positions 118 to 350 of the family's 1533-position model. The record is from RNAcentral.
UGGGUGAUCUGCCCUGCACUUUGGGAUAAGCCUGGGAAACUGGGUCUAAUACCGAAUAUGACCAUGCACUUCCUGGUGUGUGGUGGAAAGCUUUUGCGGUGUGGGAUGGGCCCGCGGCCUAUCAGCUUGUUGGUGGGGUAAUGGCCUACCAAGGCGACGACGGGUAGCCGGCCUGAGAGGGUGACCGGCCACACUGGGACUGAGACACGACCCAGACUCCUACGGGAGGCA